AGCGUACACGGUGGAUGCCCUGGCAGUCAGAGGCGAUGAAGGACGUGCUAAUCUGCGAUAAGCGUCGGUAAGGUGAUAUGAACCGUUAUAACCGGCGAUUUCCGAAUGGGGAAACCCAGUGUGUUUCGACACACUAUCAUUAACUGAAUCCAUAGGUUAAUGAGGCGAACCGGGGGAACUGAAACAUCUAAGUACCCCGAGGAAAAGAAAUCAACCGAGAUUCCCCCAGUAGCGGCGAGCGAACGGGGAGCAGCCCAGAGCCUGAAUCAGUGUGUGUGUUAGUGGAAGCGUCUGGAAAGGCGCGCGAUACAGGGUGACAGCCCCGUACACAAAAAUGCACAUGCUGUGAGCUCGAUGAGUAGGGCGGGACACGUGGUAUCCUGUCUGAAUAUGGGGGGACCAUCCUCCAAGGCUAAAUACUCCUGACUGACCGAUAGUGAACCAGUACCGUGAGGGAAAGGCGAAAAGAACCCCGGCGAGGGGAGUGAAAAAGAACCUGAAACCGUGUACGUACAAGCAGUGGGAGCACGCUUAGGCGUGUGACUGCGUACCUUUUGUAUAAUGGGUCAGCGACUUAUAUUCUGUAGCAAGGUUAACCGAAUAGGGGAGCCGAAGGGAAACCGAGUCUUAACUGGGCGUUAAGUUGCAGGGUAUAGACCCGAAACCCGGUGAUCUAGCCAUGGGCAGGUUGAAGGUUGGGUAACACUAACUGGAGGACCGAACCGACUAAUGUUGAAAAAUUAGCGGAUGACUUGUGGCUGGGGGUGAAAGGCCAAUCAAACCGGGAGAUAGCUGGUUCUCCCCGAAAGCUAUUUAGGUAGCGCCUCGUGAAUUCAUCUCCGGGGGUAGAGCACUGUUUCGGCAAGGGGGUCAUCCCGACUUACCAACCCGAUGCAAACUGCGAAUACCGGAGAAUGUUAUCACGGGAGACACACGGCGGGUGCUAACGUCCGUCGUGAAGAGGGAAACAACCCAGACCGCCAGCUAAGGUCCCAAAGUCAUGGUUAAGUGGGAAACGAUGUGGGAAGGCCCAGACAGCCAGGAUGUUGGCUUAGAAGCAGCCAUCAUUUAAAGAAAGCGUAAUAGCUCACUGGUCGAGUCGGCCUGCGCGGAAGAUGUAACGGGGCUAAACCAUGCACCGAAGCUGCGGCAGCGACGCUGAUGCGUUGUUGGGUAGGGGAGCGUUCUGUAAGCCUGCGAAGGUGUGCUGUGAGGCAUGCUGGAGGUAUCAGAAGUGCGAAUGCUGACAUAAGUAACGAUAAAGCGGGUGAAAAGCCCGCUCGCCGGAAGACCAAGGGUUCCUGUCCAACGUUAAUCGGGGCAGGGUGAGUCGACCCCUAAGGCGAGGCCGAAAGGCGUAGUCGAUGGGAAACAGGUUAAUAUUCCUGUACUUGGUGUUACUGCGAAGGGGGGACGGAGAAGGCUAUGUUGGCCGGGCGACGGUUGUCCCGGUUUAAGCGUGUAGGCUGGUUUUCCAGGCAAAUCCGGAAAAUCAAGGCUGAGGCGUGAUGACGAGGCACUACGGUGCUGAAGCAACAAAUGCCCUGCUUCCAGGAAAAGCCUCUAAGCAUCAGGUAACAUCAAAUCGUACCCCAAACCGACACAGGUGGUCAGGUAGAGAAUACCAAGGCGCUUGAGAGAACUCGGGUGAAGGAACUAGGCAAAAUGGUGCCGUAACUUCGGGAGAAGGCACGCUGAUAUGUAGGUGAAGCGACUUGCUCGUGGAGCUGAAAUCAGUCGAAGAUACCAGCUGGCUGCAACUGUUUAUUAAAAACACAGCACUGUGCAAACACGAAAGUGGACGUAUACGGUGUGACGCCUGCCCGGUGCCGGAAGGUUAAUUGAUGGGGUUAGCCGCAAGGCGAAGCUCUUGAUCGAAGCCCCGGUAAACGGCGGCCGUAACUAUAACGGUCCUAAGGUAGCGAAAUUCCUUGUCGGGUAAGUUCCGACCUGCACGAAUGGCGUAAUGAUGGCCAGGCUGUCUCCACCCGAGACUCAGUGAAAUUGAACUCGCUGUGAAGAUGCAGUGUACCCGCGGCAAGACGGAAAGACCCCGUGAACCUUUACUAUAGCUUGACACUGAACAUUGAGCCUUGAUGUGUAGGAUAGGUGGGAGGCUUUGAAGUGUGGACGCCAGUCUGCAUGGAGCCGACCUUGAAAUACCACCCUUUAAUGUUUGAUGUUCUAACGUUGACCCGUAAUCCGGGUUGCGGACAGUGUCUGGUGGGUAGUUUGACUGGGGCGGUCUCCUCCUAAAGAGUAACGGAGGAGCACGAAGGUUGGCUAAUCCUGGUCGGACAUCAGGAGGUUAGUGCAAUGGCAUAAGCCAGCUUGACUGCGAGCGUGACGGCGCGAGCAGGUGCGAAAGCAGGUCAUAGUGAUCCGGUGGUUCUGAAUGGAAGGGCCAUCGCUCAACGGAUAAAAGGUACUCCGGGGAUAACAGGCUGAUACCGCCCAAGAGUUCAUAUCGACGGCGGUGUUUGGCACCUCGAUGUCGGCUCAUCACAUCCUGGGGCUGAAGUAGGUCCCAAGGGUAUGGCUGUUCGCCAUUUAAAGUGGUACGCGAGCUGGGUUUAGAACGUCGUGAGACAGUUCGGUCCCUAUCUGCCGUGGGCGCUGGAGAACUGAGGGGGGCUGCUCCUAGUACGAGAGGACCGGAGUGGACGCAUCACUGGUGUUCGGGUUGUCAUGCCAAUGGCACUGCCCGGUAGCUAAAUGCGGAAGAGAUAAGUGCUGAAAGCAUCUAAGCACGAAACUUGCCCCGAGAUGAGUUCU
This 2775-nucleotide ribosomal RNA is filed under the name Escherichia coli. Its description in RNAcentral is "bacterial LSU rRNA". It matches the Rfam family "Bacterial large subunit ribosomal RNA". Lineage: Bacteria; Pseudomonadati; Pseudomonadota; Gammaproteobacteria; Enterobacterales; Enterobacteriaceae. The record is from RNAcentral.